RNAcentral lists this ribosomal RNA (301 nucleotides) under uncultured bacterium. RNAcentral's name for it is "partial 16S ribosomal RNA". It matches the Rfam family "Bacterial small subunit ribosomal RNA", at positions 509 to 809 of the family's 1533-position model. The record is from RNAcentral.
CAGCCGCCGCGGGAAUACGUAGGUGGCAAGCGUUGUCCGGAAUUAUUGGGCGUAAAGGGCUCGCAGGCGGUUUCUUAAGUCUGAUGUGAAAGCCCCCGGCUCAACCGGGGAGGGUCAUUGGAAACUGGGAAACUUGAGUGCAGAAGAGGAGAGUGGAAUUCCACGUGUAGCGGUGAAAUGCGUAGAGAUGUGGAGGAACACCAGUGGCGAAGGCGACUCUCUGGUCCGUAACUGACGCUGAGGAGCGAAAGCGUGGGGAGCGAACAGGAUUAGAUACCCCAGUAGUCCCUGUCUCUUAUAU